AUUGAACGCUGGCGGCAGGCCUAACACAUGCAAGUCGAGCGGAGCGGCGGACGGGCGAGUGAUGCCUAGGAAUCUGACUGGUAGUGGGGGAUAAGGUCAGGAAACGGGCGCUGAUACCGAAUACUCUCAGCUGAGGCUUGGUCGGAUUGGCUAGUUGGUGGGGUAAAGGCCUACGAAGGCGACGAUCCGUAACUGGUCUGAGAGGAUGAUCAGUCACACGGGAACUGAGACACGGUCCAGACUCCUACGGGAGGCAGCAGUGGGGAAUAUUGGACAAUGGGCGAAAGCCUGAUCCAGCCAUGCCGCGUGUGUGAAGAAGGUCUUCGGAUUGUAAAGCACUUUCAGCUGGGAGGCGUUACCAGCAGAAGAAGCACCGGCUAACUACGUGCCAGCAGCCGCGGUAAUAC
RNAcentral lists this ribosomal RNA (407 nucleotides) under uncultured bacterium. Its description in RNAcentral is "partial 16S ribosomal RNA". It matches the Rfam family "Bacterial small subunit ribosomal RNA", at positions 30 to 526 of the family's 1533-position model. The record is from RNAcentral.